RNAcentral lists this ribosomal RNA (418 nucleotides) under uncultured bacterium. RNAcentral's name for it is "bacterial SSU rRNA". It matches the Rfam family "Bacterial small subunit ribosomal RNA", at positions 358 to 774 of the family's 1533-position model. The record is from RNAcentral.
GGAAUAUUGGACAAUGGUCGGAAGACUGAUCCAGCCAUGCCGCGUGAAGGAUAAGGUCCUAUGGAUUGUAAACUUCUUUUGAGAGGGAGCAAUAAGGUAGUCGGGACUACCGAUGAGAGUACCUUUCGAAUAAGCAUCGGCUAACUCCGUGCCAGCAGCCGCGGUAAUACGGAGGAUGCGAGCGUUAUCCGGAUUUAUUGGGUUUAAAGGGUGCGUAGGCGGUUUGUCAAGUCAGCGGUGAAACGCAAGGGCUUAACCCUUGACCUGCCGUUGAAACUGGCGGACUUGAAUGCGGAUGCUGUGGGAGGAAUGUGUGGUGUAGCGGUGAAAUGCAUAGAUAUCACACAGAACACCGAUUGCGAAGGCAUCUCACAAAUCCGUGAUUGACGCUGAGGCACGAAAGUGUGGGGAUCAAACA